GGAGCCGUAGCGCAGAGGUCGUCGCGCGCGGUCCCCAAAACCGCGAGGACACCGGUUCGAAUCCGGUCGGCUCCG
This 75-nucleotide transfer RNA is filed under the name Streptomyces sp. AM 2-1-1. Its description in RNAcentral is "tRNA-Trp". It matches the Rfam family "tRNA". From Rfam's summary of the family: Transfer RNA (tRNA) molecules are approximately 80 nucleotides in length. Lineage: Bacteria; Bacillati; Actinomycetota; Actinomycetes; Kitasatosporales; Streptomycetaceae. The record is from RNAcentral.